CCUACGGGUUGCAGCAGUGAGGAAUAUUGGUCAAUGGGCUUACGCCUGAACCAGCCAAGUCGCGUGAGGGAAGACUGCCCUAUGGGUUGUAAACCUCUUUUGUCAGGGAGCAAUUGGCGCUACGUGUAGCGUUAUCGAGAGUACCUGAAGAAAAAGCAUCGGCUAACUCCGUGCCAGCAGCCGCGGUAAUACGGAGGAUGCGAGCGUUAUCCGGAUUUAUUGGGUUUAAAGGGUGCGCAGGCGGAAGAUCAAGUCAGCGGUAAAAUUGAGAGGCUCAACCUCUUCGAGCCGUUGAAACUGGUUUUCUUGAGUGAGCGAGAAGUAUGCGGAAUGCGUGGUGUAGCGGUGAAAUGCAUAGAUAUCACGCAGAACUCCGAUUGCGAAGGCAGCAUACCGGCGCUCAACUGACGCUCAUGCACGAAAGUGUGGGUAUCGAACAGGAUUAGAUACCCUAGUAGUC
RNAcentral lists this ribosomal RNA (460 nucleotides) under uncultured bacterium. RNAcentral's name for it is "partial 16S ribosomal RNA". It matches the Rfam family "Bacterial small subunit ribosomal RNA", at positions 338 to 795 of the family's 1533-position model. The record is from RNAcentral.